Molecule: ribosomal RNA, 253 nt
Filed under: uncultured bacterium
Lineage: Bacteria
Description: partial 16S ribosomal RNA
Rfam family: Bacterial small subunit ribosomal RNA
Source: RNAcentral
UACGUAGGGGGCAAGCGUUGUCCGGAUUUAUUGGGCGUAAAGAGCGUGCAGGCGGUUUGGUAGGUCCGCUGUGAAAACUCGAGGCUCAACCUCGAGACGCCGGUGGAAACCAUCAGGCUAGAGUCCGGAAGAGGAGAGUGGAAUUCCUGGUGUAGCGGUGAAAUGCGCAGAUAUCAGGAGGAACACCGAUGGCGAAGGCAGGUCUCUGGGCCAUUACUGACACUGAGAAGCGAAAGCAUGGGGAGCGAACAGG